GGGUGCGGGGCCUACCUGCAGUCGAGCGGACAGAUGGGAGCUUGCUCCCUGAUGUUAGCGGCGCACGGGUGAGUAACACGUGGGUAACCUGCCUGUACUCUGGGAUAACUCCGGGAAACCGGGGCUAAUACCGGAUGGUUGUUUGACCCGCAUGGUUCACAUCGAAAGGUGGCUUCGGCUACCACUUACAGAUGGACCCGCGGCGCAGUUGCUGGUUGGUGAGGUAACGGCUCACCAAGGCGACGAUGCGGACCGACCUGAAAGGGUGAUCGGGGCACUGGGACUGAAAUUGGCCCAAAGUCCUACAGCAGGCAGGAUAUUGAAUCUUCCGCAAUGGACGAAAGUCUGACGGACCCUUCCGCGUGAGUGAUGAAGGUUUUCGGAUCUUAAAGCUCUGUUGUUAGGCUAUAACAAGUGCCGCUGCAAUAGGGCGGCAGCUUGACGGUACGUAACCAGAAAGCCACGGCUAACUACGUGCCAGCAGGUUACGGUAUUACGUACGUGGCAAGCGUUGUCCGGAAUUAUUGGUCGUAAAGGGCUCGCUGCGGUUUCUUAAAUCUGAUGUGAAAGCCCCCGGCUCAGCCGGGGAGGGUCAUUGGAAACUGGGGAACUUGAGUGCAGAAGAGGAGAGUGUCUUCCACGUGUAACGGUGAAAUGCGUAGAGAUGUGUAUGAAACCAGUGGCGAAUGCGACUCUCUGGUCUGUGCUGACGCUGAAGAUAGUACGCGCGGAGAGCAUACACUAUUAGAUACCCUGUAAGUACGCGCCAUAUACCACGAGUGCUAAGUGUCAUGGGGAUUACUGACACUCAGCGCUGCAGCUGACGCACUAAACAGUCGGACUGGGCGAGUGCGUUCGCUCGACUCACACUCAAAGAUAUUGACGGGGACUCACACAAUCCGAGGGACUAUGAGAUUAAUUCGUAUCAUCGGAACGACGCUUACCAGGUGCUUGCACAGUCCUCCUGAUCAGUCUUAGACAUAGGACGUUUCCGUUCAGGUCCCGAACGACGGCUGGUGCAUUGUUUGAUCGUCCCCUCGAGUAGAUGAGAGCUCGUGAUAAGACCUGCCGACGAUCGACCACCCAUGAAGCUGAGUAGCACGCAUCGAGUGCGGCCCUGCUAAGUGCACUGCGAGCACCAUACCUAAUAAGGCGGGUAAUAACGUCAGCAUCAUGCGUAGACUGCAACACGGUCUACACUGGCAGAGUACGAGCGUCUAGC
This 1222-nucleotide ribosomal RNA is filed under the name Bacillus subtilis. RNAcentral describes it as "bacterial SSU rRNA". It matches the Rfam family "Bacterial small subunit ribosomal RNA", at positions 38 to 1254 of the family's 1533-position model. Lineage: Bacteria; Bacillati; Bacillota; Bacilli; Caryophanales; Bacillaceae. The record is from RNAcentral.